Molecule: ribosomal RNA, 561 nt
Filed under: Virgibacillus marismortui
Lineage: Bacteria; Bacillati; Bacillota; Bacilli; Caryophanales; Bacillaceae
Description: bacterial SSU rRNA
Rfam family: Bacterial small subunit ribosomal RNA
Source: RNAcentral
CCUACGGGGAGGCAGCAGUAGGGAAUCUUCCGCAAUGGACGAAAGUCUGACGGAGCAACGCCGCGUGAGUGAUGAAGGUUUUCGGAUCGUAAAACUCUGUUGUCAGGGAAGAACAAGUGCCGUUCAAAUAGGGCGGCACCUUGACGGUACCUGACCAGAAAGCCCCGGCUAACUACGUGCCAGCAGCCGCGGUAAUACGUAGGGGGCAAGCGUUGUCCGGAAUUAUUGGGCGUAAAGCGCGCGCAGGCGGUCCUUUAAGUCUGAUGUGAAAGCCCACGGCUUAACCGUGGAGGGCCAUUGGAAACUGGAGGACUUGAGUACAGAAGAGGAGAGUGGAAUUCCACGUGUAGCGGUGAAAUGCGUAGAGAUGUGGAGGAACACCAGUGGCGAAGGCGACUCUCUGGUCUGUAACUGACGCUGAGGUGCGAAAGCGUGGGGAGCGAACAGGAUUAGAUACCCUGGUAGUCCACGCCGUAAACGAUGAGUGCUAGGUGUUAGGGGGUUUCCGCCCCUUAGUGCUGAAGUUAACGCAUUAAGCACUCCGCCUGGAGACGCGACGCG